This is a long non-coding RNA of Poeciliopsis prolifica (blackstripe livebearer), 552 nucleotides long. RefSeq lists it as uncharacterized. Lineage: Eukaryota; Metazoa; Chordata; Actinopteri; Cyprinodontiformes; Poeciliidae. The record is from RefSeq and is a predicted model, not a curated record. The transcript has 3 exons.
CAAAUUUUGCUCAGCUGAAUGGUUGCCAUGGAGACUAGAUAAUUUCUCAAACGCAUGAAGGAAUCAAAGCGAAACUCCAGAUUUGUAGUACAAAUGUGUUGAAUAGCGAAUUCCUGCAAAGACCAACAGUGGGACCAGUGGCACCAACUGACUGGACCUCUGUGAAUUCGGUCAGUCAAGCAGAUGGAGAGCAGGACUGAUGACAGAGAGGGGAUCCGGCACCUGAUGCUGCAGCGGCCUGACCGGAUCGUUUGAGCUGAUUGGACUCUGGAGAUUCUGGGUUACAGAGGCACGGGGACGGACGGGCAGAUGGACGGAUGGACACUGGAUGUGGGCAGAUGUACUGAGACCUCUGCAGCCCCUCAGAGGAAAACGAGGCGGACCCAGAGGCUGGCUGUGUGCCGCAGUUCAGCAGGUGGCAGACGGAUCGGCACAGACUGUUACUUAUCAGAGGAAAACAAAAGCUUAUCGUUUUCUGGGAAGAAAGGAAACGUCGCUUUAGAUCGUUUUUUCCAAGGUUCCCUCUGGUUUGUUCAGUUUAUCAGCAUGCAC